UCGCGCUGGGGCAGCCCCCGCAGCGCUUCGGGGGCCGCGCGCUCCCGCCAGGCCGGGGGGUCCUGCUCCAGCAGCUCCGGCUCCACGCGCCCCACAGACCCCUCAGACCCCCCCCCGGGCGGGGGGUCGCCCCCUCCGGGCCCCCCCGGCUCCGGGCUGCCCGAAAAAGGGGGGAGGGGGACAGGGUUAGGGUGGGAUUUGGGGUGGUGGACCCCAAAAUCCCAAUUUGAGGGGGGGUCUUACACUGAUUCUGGCUCAAAAUCCUGAAUUGGGGGGGGGUCUCGCACUGAUCCUGACCCAAAUAUCCCAAAUUGGGGAUGGGGAGGGGGGUCUCGCACUGACCCUGACCCAAAUACCCCAAAUAUCCCAAAUUGGGGGGGGGUCUCGCACUGAUUCUGACCCAAAAUCCUGAAUUGGGGGGGGGUCUUGCACUGAUUCUGGCCCAAAUAUCCCAAAUUGGGGAUGGGGGGGGGUCUCGCACUGAUUCUGACCCAAAUCCCGAAUUGGGGGGGGGUCUCACACUCAUCCUGACACAAAUCCCAAUUUGAGGGGGGGUCUCACACUGAUCCUGACCCAAAUUUCAAAUUGGGGGGGGUCUCACACUGAUCCCCAGGCGCCCCACAGACCCCUCAGACCCCCCCCCGGGCGGGGGGUCGCCCCCUCCGGGCCCCCCCGGCUCCGGGCUGCCCGAAAAAUGGGGAGGGGGACAGGGUUAGGGUGGGAUUUGGGGUGGUGGACCCCAAAAUCCCAAUUUGAGGGGGGGUCUUACACUGAUUCUGGCUCAAAUCCCAAAUUGGGGGGGGGUCUCGCACUGAUUCUGACCCAAAUCCCAAAUUGGGGGGGGUCUUGCACUGAUUCUGACCCAAAUCCCAAAUUGGGGGGGGGUCUCACAC
Molecule: long non-coding RNA, 893 nt
Filed under: Taeniopygia guttata (zebra finch)
Lineage: Eukaryota; Metazoa; Chordata; Aves; Passeriformes; Estrildidae
Description: lncRNA (ENSTGUG00000029418.1)
Source: RNAcentral